UACAGAGGGGGCAAGCGUUAUUCGGAAUUAUUGGGCGUAAAGGGCGCGUAGGCGGCUUGGCAAGUGGAAGGUGAAAUCCCUCGGCUUAACCGAGGAACUGCCCUCCAAACUGCCUCGCUUGAGACCGGGAGAGGUGAGUGGAAUUCCCAGUGUAGCGGUGAAAUGCGUAGAUAUUGGGAGGAACACCAGUGGCGAAGGCGGCUCACUGGACCGGUACUGACGCUGAUGCGCGAAAGCGUGGGGAGCAAACGGG
RNAcentral lists this ribosomal RNA (253 nucleotides) under uncultured bacterium. Its description in RNAcentral is "partial 16S ribosomal RNA". It matches the Rfam family "Bacterial small subunit ribosomal RNA", at positions 524 to 776 of the family's 1533-position model. The record is from RNAcentral.